UACGUAGGGGGCAAGCGUUGUCCGGAUUUAUUGGGCGUAAAGAGCUUGUAGGCGGUCUGUCGCGUCUGCUGUGAAAAUCCGAGGCUCAACCCCGGACUUGCAGUGGGUACGGGCAGACUAGAGUGUGGUAGGGGAGACUGGAAUUCCUGGUGUAGCGGUGAAAUGCGCAGAUAUCAGGAGGAACACCGAUGGCGAAGGCAGGUCUCUGGGCCACUACUGACGCUGAGAAGCGAAAGCAUGGGGAGCGAACAGG
This 253-nucleotide ribosomal RNA is filed under the name uncultured bacterium. Its description in RNAcentral is "partial 16S ribosomal RNA". It matches the Rfam family "Bacterial small subunit ribosomal RNA", at positions 524 to 776 of the family's 1533-position model. The record is from RNAcentral.